GCUUCCAAAUUCAUUACACUCCUUCAGUGUGUUUCCUUCAAUUAGCUUAUGCUUUUUUUUCAUCUUCUUUCCUUGGUUAUCAUCUUCACAUCCAUUGCUUUCGAACUCCUUAUGUUUUCUUUCUUCACUUAGUUUCUUCUUCUUUUUCUUCACCUUUUUGUAUUGCUUGCCAUCUUCAUCUACAUUGCUCCUAAAGUCAUUACACUCCUUCGGUGUGUUUCCUUCAAUUAGCAUUUGCUUCUUUUUUAUCUGCUUUCCUUGGUUAUGAUCUUCACAUUCGUUGCUUUUCAACUCCUUAUACUCCUUAUCUUUGCUUUCUUCACUCGGUUUCUUCUUUUUAUUUUUCUUCUUGCCCUGCUUGCCAUCUUCACUUUUAUUGCUUUCGACCAAAUGUUGAUUGUAAUUAC
RNAcentral lists this long non-coding RNA (407 nucleotides) under Trifolium pratense (red clover). RNAcentral's name for it is "long non-coding RNA (TPRA_LNC002056)". Lineage: Eukaryota; Viridiplantae; Streptophyta; Magnoliopsida; Fabales; Fabaceae. The record is from RNAcentral.